AUAAACACAUCACAGUAUCACAGGGGCAGCUGCUACUCAAAGUCCUCUCUGUGAUUAAUCUCAUUUUCAAUAUUAGUCCAACAGCAGUGAUUAAAGAGAGCUGAGCCUCUGCAUUGAAUGGGCUUCUUGAUAGUCAUGAUGAUGAUGAUGAUGAUGAUGAACGAGCCACAUUGCUGAGUCCUUUGUGCUUCACAUUAUAAAUUAAGAGAAACUUCACAGUCUUCUUACUACUUACAUGUUGUCUUCCAGUGCAGAAAGAAAAUCUUCCAUCAGCUGCAGUGUUAACUAACACCCAAAAUCACCAUGCUACUUGAAAUGAAGCAUCUGAGCCUGACAGCCGGAGACAGGCUGAAAGUGAAGGGGAUCAUUCAGCAUGAUGCCGAGAGAUUCAAGAUCGAGCUGGGCUGUGGUACGGACGACAUCGCGCUGCACUUUAAUCCCCGUUUUGAUGACGAUGCUGAUGGUUCCGUUAUUGUUUGCAACUCAAAGACUGGUGGGUCUUGGGGCGAUGAGGUCCGGGACACACACAACCCUCUACACCGGGAAGAGUGAUCAAGCUGGAGUUGACGCUGGCUGGAGACGUGUUUGAGGUGGAGCUUCCUGACGGACAGCAGCUGCAGUUUCCAAACCGUGAGAACGUGGACGUCAUCAACUACGUCCGAAU
Gymnodraco acuticeps is the source of this 664-nucleotide long non-coding RNA. RefSeq lists it as uncharacterized. Lineage: Eukaryota; Metazoa; Chordata; Actinopteri; Perciformes; Bathydraconidae. The transcript has 4 exons. The record is from RefSeq and is a predicted model, not a curated record.